This 405-nucleotide ribosomal RNA is filed under the name uncultured bacterium. RNAcentral describes it as "partial 16S ribosomal RNA". It matches the Rfam family "Bacterial small subunit ribosomal RNA", at positions 28 to 526 of the family's 1533-position model. The record is from RNAcentral.
GAUGAACGCUGGCGGCGUGCCUAAUACAUGCAAGUCGAGCGAAGCGGGGACGGGUGAGUAACACGUGGAUAACCGCCGAUAAGACUGGGAUAACUUCGGGAAACCGGAGAAAAAACGGAUACUUAUCUAUGGAUCCGCGGUGCAUUAGCUAGUUGUUAGGGUAAUGGAUUACCAAGGCAACGAUGCAUAGCCGACCUGAGAGGGUGAUCGGCCACAUUGGAACUGAGACACGGUGCAGACUCCUACGGGAGGCAGCAGUAGGGAAUCGUCCGCAAUGGGCGAAAGCCUGACGGAGCAACGCCGCGUGAGUGAAGAAGGUCUUCGGAUCGUAAAACUCUGUUAUUAGGGAAGCGGUACCUAAUCAGAAAGCCACGGCUAACUACGUGCCAGCAGCCGCGGUAAUUC